Molecule: ribosomal RNA, 278 nt
Filed under: uncultured bacterium
Lineage: Bacteria
Description: partial 16S ribosomal RNA
Rfam family: Archaeal small subunit ribosomal RNA
Source: RNAcentral
GUGCAGCAGCCGCGGUAAAACCAGCACCUCAAGUGGUCAGGAUGAUUAUUGGGCCUAAAGCAUCCGUAGCCGGCUCUGUAAGUUUUCGGUUAAAUCUGUACGCUUAACGUACAGGCUGCCGGGAAUACUGCAGAGCUAGGGAGUGGGAGAGGUAGACGGUACUCGGUAGGAAGGGGUAAAAUCCUUUGAUCUAUUGAUGACCACCUGUGGCGAAGGCGGUCUACCAGAACACGUCCGACGGUGAGGGAUGAAAGCAUUUUACCACUUCCUACCGAGUA